This 497-nucleotide ribosomal RNA is filed under the name uncultured bacterium. RNAcentral describes it as "partial 16S ribosomal RNA". It matches the Rfam family "Bacterial small subunit ribosomal RNA", at positions 28 to 507 of the family's 1533-position model. The record is from RNAcentral.
GAUGAACGCUGGCGGCGUGCCUAAUACAUGCAAGUCGAGCGAACAGACGAGGAGCUUGCUCCUCUGACGUUAGCGGCGGACGGGUGAGUAACACGUGGAUAACCUACCUAUAAGACUGGGAUCACUUCGGGAAACCGGAGCUAAUACCGGAUAAUAUAUUGAACCGCAUGGUUCAAUAGUGAAAGACGGUUUUGCUGUCACUUAUAGAUGGAUCCGCGCCGCAUUAGCUAGUUGGUAAGGUAACGGCUUACCAAGGCAACGAUGCGUAGCCGACCUGAGAGGGUGAUCGGCCACACUGGAACUGAGACACGGUCCAGACUCCUACGGGAGGCAGCAGUAGGGAAUCUGCCGCAAUGGGCGAAAGCCUGACGGAGCAACGCCGCGUGAGUGAUGAAGGUCUUCGGAUCGUAAAACUCUGUUAUUAGGGAAGAACAAAUGUGUAAGUAACUAUGCACGUCUUGACGGUACCUAAUCAGAAAGCCACGGCUAACUACGUG